Molecule: transfer RNA, 72 nt
Organism: Zymoseptoria brevis
Lineage: Eukaryota; Fungi; Ascomycota; Dothideomycetes; Mycosphaerellales; Mycosphaerellaceae
Rfam family: tRNA
About the family: Transfer RNA (tRNA) molecules are approximately 80 nucleotides in length. Their secondary structure includes four short double-helical elements and three loops (D, anti-codon, and T loops).
Source: Rfam
GAGAGCUUAGCUUAAUGGUAAAGCAUGUGACUUUUAAUCAUUUUUAUGUGAGUUCAAAUCUCAUAGCUCUUA